Molecule: ribosomal RNA, 253 nt
Filed under: uncultured bacterium
Lineage: Bacteria
Description: partial 16S ribosomal RNA
Rfam family: Bacterial small subunit ribosomal RNA
Source: RNAcentral
UACGGAGGGUGCAAACGUUGCUCGGAAUCAUUGGGCGUAAAGCGCACGUAGGUGGCCUGUUAAGUCGGGUGUGAAAUCCCUGGGCUCAACCCAGGAAGUGCACUCGAAACUGGCAGGCUUGAGUACUGAAGAGGGUCGCGGAAUUCCCGGUGUAGAUGUGAAAUUCGUAGAUAUCGGGAGGAACACCAGUGGCGAAGGCGGCGACCUGGGCAGAUACUGACACUGAGGUGCGAAAGCGUGGGGAGCAAACAGG